CCACCGUCAGUCUCCUCCACCGGCCGUCUAGGGUUUCGCCUCCGCUCCCCCAAAUCCGUCACGAUGUGGGCCGCCUCUUGCCUCGCCUCGUGCUGCGCUUCGUGCGCCUGCGAUGCCUGCCGCUCCGUCGUUGGCGGUAUUAGCCGCCGCUCCGCCCGCAUCGCCUACUGCGGCCUCUUUGCCCUCUCCCUCAUCGUCUCCUGGAUCCUCCGAGAGGUCGCCGCUCCUCUCAUGGAGAGCAUCCCAUGGAUCAAUCACUUCUCGAAGACGCCGGAUCGGGAGUGGUUUGAGACGGACGCGGUGCUGAGGGUCAGUCUCGGUAAUUUUCUGUUUUUCACCAUAUUGGCGUUGAUGAUGGUUGGGGUGAAGAAUCAGAGGGAUCCGCGGGAUGGGCUGCAUCACGGCGGGUGGUCGGCGAAGAUAUUUUGUUGGUUUGUGUUGGUGAUUCUGAUGUUCUUUCUUCCCAAUGGGGUUGUGAGCUUCUAUGAGACGGCAUCAAAAUUUGGUUCGGGAUUGUUUCUUCUGGUCCAAGUUGUUCUCUUGUUGGACUUUGUGCAUGGUUGGAAUGAUAAUUGGGUUAGCAAAGAUGAGCAAUUCUGGUACACUGCAUUGUUGGUCAUCUCCCUUGUGUGCUAUGUGGCCUCAUUCUCUUUCGCAGGGUUGCUUUUUCAUUGGUUUACUCCAUCAGGGCAUGAUUGUGGGCUCAACACGUUUUUCAUUGUUCUUACUCUGGUUCUUGUUUUUGUUUUUGCGGUCGUUGCACUUCACCCAAAGAUUAAUGGCAGCUUAUUACCCGCCUCUGUUAUAUCCCUUUAUUGCACUUAUCUCUGCUACAGCGGGCUCUCUAGCGAGCCGAGGGACUAUGAGUGCAACGGCCUUCAUAACCAUACCAAAGCUGUCUCUACAGGAAGCAUGACACUAGGUUUGCUUACCACUGUCCUCUCUGUGGUCUAUUCUGCUGUUCGUGCUGGUUCUUCCACAACUCUCCUGUCGCCCCCGAGUUCACCCCGUGCUGGUACAGAGAAGCCUCUGCUCCCCUUUGACAAGGUGGAGGAGCAGGGAGACAGAAGGAAAGAUGAGGCGAGGCCGGUGUCAUACUCCUAUACCUUCUUCCACCUCAUUUUCUCACUUGCCAGCAUGUAUUCCGCAAUGCUGUUGACCGGCUGGUCAACCUCAAUUGGCGAAAGUGGAAAGCUUGUUGAUGUGGGGUGGGCGUCAGUGUGGGUCAGAAUGGUGACAGGUUGGGCCACAGCAGCUCUCUUUAUCUGGUCCCUCGUUGCUCCCAUUCUGUUCCCAGACAGGGAGUUCUAAUCGCUGAACACGUGCCUAUGAAACUUUAUGGAAAACUUUUAAGUAUUGUAUGUAUAUAAUGUGCGAAUGAUCUGGUGUGUGGUUAUGAGCUUUUGACAAGCCAAGGGCAGUAUGAUUUCAAUAAAAAUAAUGUGAUGUUUUCUUACUAAGCUAU
This 1465-nucleotide unclassified non-coding RNA is filed under the name Hevea brasiliensis (rubber tree). Lineage: Eukaryota; Viridiplantae; Streptophyta; Magnoliopsida; Malpighiales; Euphorbiaceae. The record is from RNAcentral.